GACAGAGGUCCCGAGCGUUAGGCGGAAUCACUGGGCUUAAAGCGUGUGUAGGCGGAUCGUUAAGUGCCUUGUGAAAUCCCAUGGCUUAACCAUGGAACUGCUUGGCAUACUGGCGGUCUUGAGCCACUUAGGGGCAACCGGAACAAAUGGUGGAGCGGUGAAAUGCGUAGAUAUCGUUUGGAACGCCAACGGUGAAAACAGACAGCUGGGAGUGUGCUGACGCUGAGACACGAAAGCCAGGGGAGCGAACGGG
Molecule: ribosomal RNA, 253 nt
Filed under: uncultured bacterium
Lineage: Bacteria
Description: partial 16S ribosomal RNA
Rfam family: Bacterial small subunit ribosomal RNA
Source: RNAcentral